This 433-nucleotide ribosomal RNA is filed under the name uncultured bacterium. RNAcentral's name for it is "partial 16S ribosomal RNA". It matches the Rfam family "Bacterial small subunit ribosomal RNA", at positions 29 to 507 of the family's 1533-position model. The record is from RNAcentral.
AACGAACGCUGGCGGCAUGCCUAACACAUGCAAGUCGAACGAGCACUCCGGGUCCUUUGUCGCACGAGUGUGUCACGCGUCGGAACAUGACCAUAGGUUCAGAAUACCUCCCCGACAGGGGUAAUAAUAGCGAAUCAUGUCUUCUGCCCAAAGAUUUAUUGCCCUUGAAUGGUCCGGCGUUGAAUUCGGUUGUUGUUAGGGUAAAAGACUAAUAAGGCGACGAUCAAUAGCUGGUCAGGGAGGAAGAUCAGCAACACUGGGACUGAGACACGGCCCAGACUCCUACGGGAGGCAGCAGUAGGGAAUAGUGGACAGUGGGCGAAGGGCUGAAGCAGCAAGGACGGGUGAGUGAUGAAGGCCGUAGGGUUGUAAAGUGCUAUUACCCGGGAUGAUAAUGACAGUACCGGGAGAAUAAGCUCCGGCUAACUCCGUG